CCGACGGUGAGAGGCGAAAGCUGGGGGAGCAAACCGGAUUGGAUACCCGGGUAGUCCCAGCCGUAAACGAUGCUCGCUAGGUGUCUGGGAUGGUGCGACCGUUUCAGGUGCCGCAGGGAAGCCGUGAAGCGAGCCACCUGGGAAGUACGGCCGCAAGGCUGAAACUUAAAGGAAUUGGCGGGGGAGCACUACAACGGGUGGAGCCUGCGGUUUAAUUGGACUCAACGCCGGAAAACUCACCUGGGGC
RNAcentral lists this ribosomal RNA (247 nucleotides) under uncultured archaeon. RNAcentral's name for it is "partial 16S ribosomal RNA". It matches the Rfam family "Archaeal small subunit ribosomal RNA", at positions 691 to 937 of the family's 1478-position model. The record is from RNAcentral.